RNAcentral lists this unclassified non-coding RNA (200 nucleotides) under soil metagenome. RNAcentral's name for it is "partial contains internal transcribed spacer 2 and large subunit ribosomal RNA". The record is from RNAcentral.
AACCCUCAAGCCCCCGGGCUUGGUGUUGGGGAUCGGCGUGCCCUCGCGGCGCGCCGUCCCCGAAAUCUAGUGGCGGUCUCGCUGUAGCUUCCUCUGCGUAGUAGCACACCUCGCACUGGAAAGCAGCGCGGCCACGCCGUUAAACCCCCCACUUCUGAAAGGUUGACCUCGGAUCAGGUAGGAAUACCCGCUGAACUUAA